GGGGGCGUUUUUGGAUUCGACGGGGAUUGUUUGAGCAUAGGUGGCGGGUCGUGGGGCUGCGAGGCCACGUAAAAAACGCGGACUUAAAUUAAACGCUAAAAACAACGUAGUUUCUUUCAAAUCCCGUAACGCGGGGCUUGCGUUAGCUGCCUAACAUCAGCUAAUCCGUUAUUAGCAUCAUCGCCCAUGUGGUGCUGGUAACGUCACUCUAGUGGGAUAGUCGAUGGUCUCUGCUCGUGGACCACCGAUGAAACUUGCGCGGGCUAGCCUGAAAGACAGCGUGUCAUGCCGCGGCCUGAUGGCGAAUCUCAAGUAGUAUGACUACACCCGUAGAAGCGUAUGUAGCAAGGUCUUCGGACAGGGGUUCGACUCCCCUCGCCUCCAA
This 385-nucleotide transfer-messenger RNA is filed under the name Fodinisporobacter ferrooxydans. RNAcentral's name for it is "Alicyclobacillaceae bacterium MYW30-H2 transfer-messenger RNA". It matches the Rfam family "transfer-messenger RNA". Rfam says of the family: Bacterial tmRNA, also known as 10Sa RNA or SsrA, is named for its dual tRNA and mRNA-like properties. Its role is to liberate the mRNA from a stalled ribosome. To accomplish this part of the tmRNA is used as a reading frame that ends in a translation stop signal. The record is from RNAcentral. Lineage: Bacteria; Bacillati; Bacillota; Bacilli; Caryophanales; Alicyclobacillaceae.